GGGUGAGUAACACAUAGGAAUCUGCCCAGUAGCGGGGGACGACUUGGGGAAACUCAAGCUAAUACCGCAUACGCCCUACGGGGGAAAGCAGGGGAUCUUCGGACCUUGCACUAUUGGAUGAGCCUAUGUCAGAUUAGCUUGUUGGUGGGGUAAUGGCCUACCAAGGCGACGAUCUGUAGCUGGUCUGAGAGGACGAUCAGCCACACUGGGACUGAGACACGGCCCAG
RNAcentral lists this ribosomal RNA (227 nucleotides) under uncultured bacterium. Its description in RNAcentral is "partial 16S ribosomal RNA". It matches the Rfam family "Bacterial small subunit ribosomal RNA", at positions 104 to 334 of the family's 1533-position model. The record is from RNAcentral.